Polypterus senegalus (gray bichir) is the source of this 1279-nucleotide long non-coding RNA. RefSeq lists it as uncharacterized. The transcript is spliced from 3 exons. The record is from RefSeq and is a predicted model, not a curated record. Lineage: Eukaryota; Metazoa; Chordata; Cladistia; Polypteriformes; Polypteridae.
CAACCCAAGCCCUCCAGGACCGGAUUUGGGGACCCCUGGCCUAAGUGAACAUCACCUACCUUGACUGCAUCACCAAUGAGGAGGUACUUAGUCGGUGAGGCCUGCCCAAAGUGGACGACACAGUCACUGGCUUUCGAGUCAACCUGACAGCCCACAACCUCGGCCUACCCAACCACCGAAACCCUAAGACAGCAGUGAACUGGAAACCAAGAAAUGGAAAAGAGAAGCAGCAGGGCUUUGGCCUUCAAGACCUUUGUGAAGACUUGAAAGCAGUUGACAUUGAUUUGGAAAGGAGCCACAACUACUGCAGCCGAUCGCAAAUUGUUUCAGAACGCUUGCUGCCAAGUGCGCUGAGUGCCACGGGAGGCUCUAAGACAAAGACUGAUAAAUGGACCCGCUCAUGGCCUAAUUCCUUCUAGAAGAUUCCACUCCCCUAAGAAUAUACGGGUGUUAUGACAACAUGAACGUGAUCUACUUGGUUUAUUUGCAUUUCACAGCUUUUAUAUUGAACUGUGAUAAAAUCUGAGGACAAACAUUAUGCCAGGAAAUACAACCACAUGUUAACAGAGCCACUAGAAUCCUUCACAGUUUGAUCCUGUGGAUGUGCGCCACACACUUGUUUGACUGCCUCUUGAGAAAGAGAUGGAGGAAGUCUCAUUUGUAAAGUGCGUGUUGAUGUGUAUCAAAUGAACUUAAAAUGGCUCUGACGAAUGUUGCAAUUUCUGUCGAUGUGACCCCCCACUGAACUGGCUGUCCAAAUAUUUCUUAGUGUGCAGCAAACUGCCCAAAGACCCGGCUUUGCAGUCUUCAAGGCUCUAUUAAUGUACAUUCAACUAGACACAAAUCUGAGGAGGCAAGUCCAUGAUAAUCAGCCCAACCAGACGCGGAGCGUAGAUCUGUUUGAACGGAAACAAAUCUUAACAGCGGAUGUUAGACAGAGCUUGGUGGACUUGGUGAAGUCUUCUGCCUGUAUGGUUGCAACAUGGACACAGAUCUGACUAGACAUUUGGUUUUGUCAUCCUAGAAUACUAACCACAGAAAAAAAGAUGUGGCAUGAAGCGGUACGGAAAAAGACGCAGCCAUCGUCUGGGAUUCGAUGACUUGUGAUAGGCAUAACAGGCAUGAGGCAAAGCUGCAUCCUCAAACAAUUGAUACUCUCCUAGAAUAGCCCCCCAAAAAGCAGCCAGCAGUUGGCACCACACAGCACAGCGGAGUAUUGAAGGACAAAUCGCGUCUACUGAUCAAGCUUCCCCAACCAGAAACUCCAGCGUUGCCAAUG